UACGUAGGGGGCAAGCGUUGUCCGGAAUCAUUGGGCGUAAAGCGCGUGUAGGCAGCUCGGUAAGUCUGCUGUGAAAGUCCAGGGCUCAACCCUGGGAUGCCGGUGGAUACUGUCGAGCUCGAGUCCGGAAGAGGCGAGUGGAAUUCCUGGUGUAGCGGUGAAAUGCGCAGAUAUCAGGAGGAACACCGAUGGCGAAGGCAGCUCGCUGGGACGUGACUGACGCUGAGACGCGAAAGCGUGGGGAGCAAACAGG
Molecule: ribosomal RNA, 253 nt
Filed under: uncultured bacterium
Lineage: Bacteria
Description: partial 16S ribosomal RNA
Rfam family: Bacterial small subunit ribosomal RNA
Source: RNAcentral